CUACGGGUGGCAGCAGUGGGGAAUCUUAGACAAUGGGGGCAACCCUGAUCUAGCCAUGCCGCGUGAGUGAUGAAGGCCUUAGGGUCGUAAAGCUCUUUCGCCUGUGAAGAUAAUGACUGUAGCAGGUAAAGAAACCCCGGCUAACUCCGUGCCAGCAGCCGCGGUAAUACGGAGGGGGUUAGCGUUGUUCGGAAUUACUGGCGGAAAGCGCGCGUAGGCGGACUAUUAAGUCAGGGGUGAAAUCCCGGGGCUCAACCCCGGAACUGCCCUUGAUACUGGUAGUCUUGAGUUCGAGAGAGGUGAGUGGAAUUCCGAGUGUAGAGGUGAAAUUCGUAGAUAUUCGGAGGAACACCAGUGGCGAAGGCGGCUCACUGGCUCGAUACUGACGCUGAGGUGCGAAAGUGUGGGGAGCAAACAGGAUUAGAUACCCUAGUAGUC
This 438-nucleotide ribosomal RNA is filed under the name uncultured bacterium. RNAcentral describes it as "partial 16S ribosomal RNA". It matches the Rfam family "Bacterial small subunit ribosomal RNA", at positions 339 to 795 of the family's 1533-position model. The record is from RNAcentral.